This is a long non-coding RNA of Dromaius novaehollandiae (emu), 408 nucleotides long. NCBI's taxonomy places the organism in Eukaryota, Metazoa, Chordata, Aves, Casuariiformes, Dromaiidae. The record is from Ensembl.
CGCACGGUUGGCCAAGAGCAUGUCCAGUGCCCUCUGGGAUCCGCUCUUUCCCUGAAUAUUGGAAGGACUCCCAAAAGAAAGGAAAUUUCUUUCUGCUUUAAAAAGCCUGAUCUAGCUUGUUGAAACACCAGUCUUACCAAAAAGCAGACUUUCUUGGCCGUGGAGGAAAGGGCUGACUUUGUUCCUGGUGGAGGUCGCAUUACAAUCUCUUGGAAGUUUAGCUAACUCCUGGUCUGAAGGAUGCGACAACGCUUCUCCUAGGAACCAGAGCCUCGGGGGAGAGGAGGCGGAGAGCAGCCGCUUCUCCUAACGUCGAUACUGCUUUCCGUAACGCGCCGUGAGCUUCAGAGUGGUGCCAGAUGCUGAGUAGCACGGGUGACUCUGUUCUCACUUUGCCAUAGCCCAAGC